RNAcentral lists this long non-coding RNA (385 nucleotides) under Triticum aestivum (bread wheat). RNAcentral describes it as "long non-coding RNA (TAES_LNC026375)". The record is from RNAcentral. Lineage: Eukaryota; Viridiplantae; Streptophyta; Magnoliopsida; Poales; Poaceae.
UAAUUAUUGAAAAUCCUGGUCAAAAUAUGACGCUAAAUAUAAAGGGGACUAAUAAACCAGGACGGAGAUAGUAGAUCAAUCUAAGUUCAACAAUACCCUAGAUAUAUGACUACACACACACACACACACACACACACACACACACACACACACACACACACACACACUAUUUAUGAUACUACCACUACAAAUGUUAUACAAAUGGAAUAUAUAUUUUUUGUGUGGGCAUCUGGCUUCACAGAGUAUUUUGGUUCGCCGGAAAAGGAAUGGAAAAAACUAGUUAGAUAGACGCACGGAAAUUCGAAAUCCAGGCAACACGACCACAGCAUUUGAACUUGCAACACCAGGUUAGGCAGACAUCGUAAAAUUGAAUUGGCCGCACGAG